This 541-nucleotide ribosomal RNA is filed under the name fungal sp. FLS-2010. RNAcentral describes it as "eukaryotic LSU rRNA". The stretch from base 211 to 364 matches the Rfam family "5.8S ribosomal RNA". Lineage: Eukaryota; Fungi. The record is from RNAcentral.
GGCCUUAAAUUUCCGCAAGGGGGACCCGUGGGGGAGGGAUCCAUUACAGGAGUUAUCCCAACCCCCAAAAAGCCAUGGUGAAAUUAUUUUGGUUGGUGGCCUCGGUGGCAAGUUACCCGGGGACUUCGCGCCCCGGGGGGCCCGCCGGCGUACCACACCAAACUCUUUUAUCUUCGGUUGAUUAUCUGAGCGUCUUAUUUAAUAAGUCAAAACUUUCACCAACGGAUCUCUUGGUUCUGGCAUCGAUGAAGAACGCAGGAAAUGCGAUAAGUAAUGUGAAUUGCAGAAUUCAGUGAAUCAUNGAAUCUUUGAANGCACAUUGCGCCCAUUAGUAUUCUAGUGGGCAUGCCUGUUGAGAGCGACAUUUCAACCCACAAGCCCAGCUUUGUGUUGGGAACUUCCGGCCCCCGUAGCUCCUUAAAGACAUUGGCGGAGUGGCAGAGGUCCUCGUCAGAGAACGUCAGGUCCGGGCGUCGAUGCCCUCCACGACAGAGGUCUCAACUUUCACUUUCAUUACGCGUUGUGGACCUCGGAUCAGGUA